Molecule: transfer RNA, 75 nt
Filed under: Syntrophorhabdus sp. PtaU1.Bin058
Lineage: Bacteria; Pseudomonadati; Thermodesulfobacteriota; Syntrophorhabdia; Syntrophorhabdales; Syntrophorhabdaceae
Also listed under: 1 other name
Description: tRNA-Val
Rfam family: tRNA
About the family: Transfer RNA (tRNA) molecules are approximately 80 nucleotides in length. Their secondary structure includes four short double-helical elements and three loops (D, anti-codon, and T loops). Further hydrogen bonds mediate the characteristic L-shaped molecular structure. tRNAs have two regions of fundamental functional importance: the anti-codon, which is responsible for specific mRNA codon recognition, and the 3' end, to which the tRNAs corresponding amino acid is attached (by aminoacyl-tRNA synthetases). tRNAs cope with the degeneracy of the genetic code in two manners: having more than one tRNA (with a specific anti-codon) for a particular amino acid; and 'wobble' base-pairing, i.e. permitting non-standard base-pairing at the 3rd anti-codon position.
Source: RNAcentral
AGGCGCAUAGCUCAGUGGGGGAGCGCUACCCUGACACGGUAGAGGUCCGGGGUUCAAAACCCCGUGCGCCUACCA